This 448-nucleotide ribosomal RNA is filed under the name uncultured bacterium. RNAcentral describes it as "partial 16S ribosomal RNA". It matches the Rfam family "Bacterial small subunit ribosomal RNA", at positions 29 to 523 of the family's 1533-position model. The record is from RNAcentral.
AACGAACGCUGGCGGCAUGCCUAACACAUGCAAGUCGAACGAAGCCUUCGGGCUUAGUGGCGCACGGGUGCGUAACGCGUGGGAAUCUGCCCUUUGGUUCGGAAUAACAGUUGGAAACGACUGCUAAUACCGGAUGAUGACGAAAGUCCAAAGAUUUAUCGCCAGAGGAUGAGCCCGCGUAGGAUUAGCUAGUUGGGGUGGUAAAGGUGCACCAAGGCGACGAUCCUUAGCUGGUCUGAGAGGAUGAUCAGCCACACUGGGACUGAGACACGGCCCAGACUUCUACGGGAGGCAGCAGUGGGGAUAUUGGACAAUGGGCGAAAGCCUGAUCCAGCAAUGCCGCGUGAGUGAUGAAGGCCCUAGGGUUGUAAAGCUCUUUUACCCGGGAUGAUAAUGACAGUACCGGGAGAAUAAGCCCCGGCUAACUCCGUGCCAGCCGCCGCGGUAA